This 985-nucleotide long non-coding RNA is filed under the name Cyanoderma ruficeps (rufous-capped babbler). Its description in RNAcentral is "lncRNA (ENSCRFG00000015665.1)". The record is from RNAcentral. Lineage: Eukaryota; Metazoa; Chordata; Aves; Passeriformes; Timaliidae.
UGGACACAAGGCAGCUUGAGGCCGGCAAGUAUUAAAAUACCCCAAUUGGCUUCGCCGGAUCCUAGCGAACUCCGGCCUUUCAGUCAGGCUGAAGGCGGGGCAAGGUGCGAAGGGGGCGGGAUCCAACGCUAGGCGGAGCCCCUCGGAUCGGACACCGUCGAGGACGUGUUCUUCCCGACCGGGGAAGGGGAGCUGAUGAGAGGAAAGACAAGGAUGGGCGGGAUUUUUUGCAGUGCUGAAGGUGUCCGUGUGUUUGAUUAGCCUGGCAGAAAAACCUGCCAUGAGUACCCAGCUGACCACCCUGAUCCUGCUUUCCAGAGCAAAACUUACUCUUCAGGAAGUCCUUGAGCAGUGAUGCCGCAAUGACCUGUCUGCACCUCCUCUUUCUGAGGUGAGCCCACAGGAAAGGACAGUGACUGGAGAGCUCUGUUGUGUCCUGACAGAAGUCCUGCUCCCAAAGGUCCUGGAAAAUGAUUGACCAGGUUAAGCCCUCCUUGGAAGUGAAAAGCAAUUCUCUUGUCAGCAUCGUAACAAAGCAUGAAAUCUUCAAGAAUGGGCUGGAGUCAGAUACUUGGAACAUUUUGCAGCUCACCAGCAAAGGGACAAAAAAGGGAAGAGACUGUGCCUGUCAGAGCUUUGCAUCCUGCUGCCUUUCUGCACUGAGACUCCCCAGCUUUAAUUGGCAAUUUCCACACGCACUUACGAGUUCCAUCAGCCUUUCUUCCAUGUAGGUCUUGAUGGUGGUGAUUAGGGGUAAAUCACUUUAUCCACGACAACAUCCGUCCUCUCUGCCAGGAAAAACCUCAGAGUCGGAAAGGUGAUUCCGGAGGGGGGGGGCGCUUCCAGGUGUAUGUGGCAGCCACUUCCAUCCGUGCUUCACCUUCUGACAAGGGAAUGCUGAUUGUCCCACAGCAUAAGUGGGAGCAGAGGAUCCUCAGCUGUGCUGUGCCGUUGGCAAUUGGCCACUUGGAGACAUAUGUGCUGG